RNAcentral lists this ribosomal RNA (921 nucleotides) under uncultured organism. RNAcentral describes it as "bacterial SSU rRNA". It matches the Rfam family "Bacterial small subunit ribosomal RNA", at positions 1 to 917 of the family's 1533-position model. The record is from RNAcentral.
UUGGAUCCAGACUUUGAUUAUGGCUCAGGAUGAACGCUGGCGGCGUGCCUAACACAUGCAAGUCGAACGAAGCUUGACGGAUGAUUUCUUCGGAAUGAAACCUGAUAUGACUUAGUGGCGGACGGGUGAGUAACACGUGAGCAACCUGCCUUUCAGAGGGGGAUAACGGCUGGAAACGGUCGCUAAUACCGCAUGAUGUGUUCGGAUGGCAUCAUUUGAACAUCAAAGAUUUAUCGCUGAAAGAUGGGCUCGCGUCUGAUUAGAUAGUUGGUGGGGUAACGGCCUACCAAGUCGACGAUCAGUAGCCGGACUGAGAGGUUGAACGGCCACAUUGGGACUGAGAUACGGCCCAGACUCCUACGGGAGGCAGCAGUGGGGAAUAUUGCACAAUGGGGGAAACCCUGAUGCAGCAACGCCGCGUGAAGGAUGACGGUUUUCGGAUUGUAAACUUCUUUUCUUAGUGACGAAGUCAGUGACGGUAGCUAAGGAAUAAGCAUCGGCUAACUACGUGCCAGCAGCCGCGGUAAUACGUAGGAUGCAAGCGUUAUCCGGAUUUACUGGGUGUAAAGGGAGCGCAGGCGGGACUGCAAGUUGGAUGUGAAAUACCGUGGCUUAACCACGGAACUGCAUCCAAAACUGUAGUUCUUGAGUGAAGUAGAGGCAAGCGGAAUUCCGAGUGUAGCGGUGAAAUGCGUAGAUAUUCGGAGGAACACCAGUGGCGAAGGCGGCUUGCUGGGCUUUAACUGACGCUGAGGCUCGAAAGUGUGGGGAGCAAACAGGAUUAGAUACCCUGGUAGUCCACACUGUAAACGAUGAUAGCUAGGUGUGGGGGGUCUGACCCCUUCCGUGCCGGAGUUAACGCAAUAAGCUAUCCACCUGGGGAGUACGACCGCAAGGUUGCAACUCAAAGGAAUUGAAGGA